Long non-coding RNA from Bubalus bubalis (water buffalo), 1649 nucleotides. RefSeq lists it as uncharacterized. The transcript has 3 exons. NCBI's taxonomy places the organism in Eukaryota, Metazoa, Chordata, Mammalia, Artiodactyla, Bovidae. The record is from RefSeq and is a predicted model, not a curated record.
ACUCUUCCUCGCGGUGUGAAGGCUCCUCCUUGCUGUGGCUCCUCUUGUUUUGGAGCACAGGCUCUAGUCACGCGGGCUUCAGUAGUAGAGGCCCUAAGAGCGUGAGGCUCAGCAGUUACGGUGCACGGGCUUAGUUGCUCUGUGGCAUGUGGAAUCUUCCCCGACCAGGGAUCAAACAUGUGUCCCUUGCAUUGGAAGGCAGAUUUCUUAUCCACGGCACCACCGGGGGAGUCCCUCCAUCAUGUCUUAAGUUCUCUUCAUGGACACUGGUCUUAUUUCACUCUAUAAACACUGCUUAAGCACUGGCAUGAUUUGGAACACACUGGCAGAAAAUCUAAGGACUGUCAUCAGCCAAGAGUCCCAAAUCAGAACCUAGUCUUAGGAUGUAGAAAGCUAUAUGGGACCAUCAUUCCCACCACGAAGAUGAGAAGAAGCUGGAUAACCAACAAAAGUCGUAGCUUUGCUGUUUGACCCCAUCUGAGAGCUAAGAUCACAAGGCAAUCUAAUGAUGUGAAAGAAACCCACCUUCCUCCUAGGAAAGAAGAGGUAUAUGGUUAACUCACAACUUGGUGACUGAACAACAGCAACAACAAUGAUUAACUCCAUCUUUUGCAGGGGAGAGAGAGGAGGAAGGAGCUCCCAUAAACAUAGGUAAGAAGAAAAGAAACUUUUACUGAAUAUUUAAAAGUCUCAAUGUGGGCUGUGUGGCAAUCUCAAUGACUGGAACCCAGUCACAAAGGGAGUCUGUGCCAGCUCUUUUCCAUGGGCCUUCGCUCAAUGUUUGUGAAAAGAUUAAAGCAAGCGUCCCCAACAUCCAGGCCAUGAGCCAGUACAGGUUCCUGGCCUGUUAACAACCAGGUCACAUAGGAAGAGGUGAGUGGUGAGCUAAUGAGCAAAGCUUCCUCUAUAUUUACAGCUGUUCUCCAUUGCUUUCCCAUCACCCCCAGAUGUAAUCAUCUAGUUGCAGGAAAACAAGCUCAGGGAGCUCACUGAUUCUGCAUUAUGGUGAGUUGUAUAAUUAUUUCAUUAUAUAUCACAAUGUAAUAAUAAUAGAAAUAAAGUGUACGAUAAAUAUAAUAUGCUUGAAUCAUCCUGAAACCACCCUCCAGCUGCACCAGUCUGUGGAAAAAUUGUCUUCCACAAGAUCAGUCCCUGGUGCUAAAAAGAAGGGGACCACUGGAUUAAAGACAGCAAGAGGGCUGAGGUAGGUCCUUUACAGGUAUCCUGGUCAUCAAACAUAGUAGGAGACAGGAUUUGUCUUCUCAGAGAGCUGGGAGGGUGUUAGGGAACUUAAAAUAGAGGAAGUCUUGUUCAGACUUCAGAAACAGGAGAGCAGGCCUCUGACCUGCCUGGAUACUGCCUGAAUUCCAUGCUUGCCGGCAAGCACAGCAAGUCAGGAGGCACUUUAGAUAAGAAAGGGAGUGAGUCUUGGAAUUUUUGAGCCCCUGGAGAUCUGGCCAACCCUCCACCCGCCACCCCCCCUCCCCCCACCCCCCCCCCCCUCCCGCCUGCUCCCAGGUCUAACAAAAUCCUAUGACUCAUUGAAGCAAACAGCAUUGUAGAAAGGUUAAAAGGAAAACCAGAGCUGCAUUUUUGCAUACGAACUAUUGAUGAUGAUUUCAGUUUGUGGCCUGGGAUGAUAAACAGGA